Molecule: long non-coding RNA, 906 nt
Organism: Prionailurus viverrinus (fishing cat)
Lineage: Eukaryota; Metazoa; Chordata; Mammalia; Carnivora; Felidae
Exons: 4
Source: RefSeq, a predicted model, not a curated record
GAGCGGGUGAGGUUCCACAGAGGACCCAGCCCUCGUCUGUUUCUUCCAGGACGCUGGGGUUUGGGAUUUCAGAGUUUGGUUUUUCUUUGUUUCCGGAGAGUCCAUUCCAGCAUCUAUUAAACAAGAAUAAGAAGGAAAGAUUCGAAGCAAUAUCCCAAUACUCUUUAGAUUUUAUCAACUGUGAGACACUAUGGAUUUUCAAAGACGGCUGACUGCCUUUCAUGCCUCUGAACUCCGCCCUUCCUUGGCAUGAUGGAGAAGGAAAAUGAACUCAAGACCCACCUAGUACAGCAUCUUAAAUCUAAUUAGGUACCCAAACAAGCGAAUUAUUUGAACUCAACGCAUCCCAAGUUGCAAAAGUGGGCCAAGUCUCUUGGCUCCUAGGACUACAGCUUUGCCUCCUUCAGGAGCUAGAGAGCUGAUGCUCAGGAGAACUGCAGGUAUGUGCCAGGCCCCGGGAAGAAGCACACCCUCCUGUGUAAUGCGAAGGCCGCGGUCCAGACUUCAUUCUCCCCGGGUCUCAAGUGCCGGCCCAUUUGCAGAAGACCAGGGAGCAGGGAGCAGCUCUGUAUUUGAGAUCUUGAAGGACACCUCGUGGUGCCACUGGAGUCGGAGACGCAAAAGGAAAAGAUGAGGGAUGGUCAUCGCUGUGCUCUUCACAUGUUGUGAGAAUUCUGGGUCAUUUUCUCAAGUUUGGAAUUGUGGAUGUGGCCGUGGCUGUUUCCAGACAGAAAACAGUGGAAUCCUGGAAAGAGUCAAACAAUCAACUGUGAUUUUGUACUUCGAUCCAGAUGAAUUAAGCAAGCAGAUCCUUUGGGUUUUACACAUCUAUGAAAUAUCAGGCCCUCAUGUUCUCCUUUUGGGGUGUUCUUCCUCGAAAAGAAUGCACUUUCACUAUUUAAAUAA